Molecule: ribosomal RNA, 405 nt
Filed under: uncultured prokaryote
Also listed under: 1 other name
Description: bacterial SSU rRNA
Rfam family: Bacterial small subunit ribosomal RNA
Source: RNAcentral
UGGGGGAUAUUGCACAAUGGAGGAAACUCUGAUGCAGCAACGCCGCGUGAGGGAAGAAGGUCUUCGGAUUGUAAACCUUUGUUUUUGGUGACGAAUAUUGACGGUAGCCAAAGAGGAAGCCACGGCUAACUACGUGCCAGCAGCCGCGGUAAUACGUAGGUGGCAAGCGUUGUCCGGAAUUACUGGGUGUAAAGGGAGCGCAGGCGGGAUAGCAAGUUGGAUGUGAAAUACCGAGGCUUAACCUCGGGGCUGCAUCCAAAACUGUUAUUCUUGAGUGAAGUAGAGGUUGGCGGAAUUCCGAGUGUAGCGGUGAAAUGCGUAGAUAUUCGGAGGAACACCAGUGGCGAAGGCGGCCAACUGGGCUUUAACUGACGCUGAGGCUCGAAAGCAUGGGGAGCAAACAGG